This 266-nucleotide ribosomal RNA is filed under the name uncultured bacterium. RNAcentral's name for it is "partial 16S ribosomal RNA". It matches the Rfam family "Bacterial small subunit ribosomal RNA", at positions 92 to 354 of the family's 1533-position model. The record is from RNAcentral.
CGACCGGCGCACGGGUGAGUAACACGUAUGAAACCUGCCCGUAGCAGGGGGAUAAGCGGAAGAAAUUCCGUCUAAUACCGUGUAACAACCCAUGGAGGCAUCUCUGUGGGUUUAAAGGAAGCGAUUCCGGCUACGGAUGGUCAUGCGUCGCAUUAGCUUGUUGGCGGGGUAACGGCCCACCAAGGCGACGAUGCGUAGGGGUUCUGAGAGGAAGGUCCCCCACACUGGUACUGAGACACAGACCAGACUCCUACGGGAGGCAGCAG